This 271-nucleotide ribosomal RNA is filed under the name uncultured bacterium. RNAcentral's name for it is "partial 16S ribosomal RNA". It matches the Rfam family "Bacterial small subunit ribosomal RNA", at positions 72 to 339 of the family's 1533-position model. The record is from RNAcentral.
GUCGGACUUCGGUCUGGCGAGUAGCGUGGCGGAUGGGUGAGUAACACGUGGGUAAUCAACCUUUAAGUGGGGAAUAAGCUCGGGAAACUGAGUACAAUACCGCAUGUUAUCUUUGUAUCGCAUGAUAUAGAGAUCAAAGCCUUAGGGCGCUUAGAGACGAGCCCGCGACUUAUUAGCUUGUUGGUGAGGUAAUGGCUCACCAAGGCUACGAUGAGUAGCUGGUCUGAGAGGAUGAUCAGCCACACUGGGACUGAGAUACGGCCCAGACUCC